Mandrillus leucophaeus (drill) is the source of this 4407-nucleotide long non-coding RNA. RefSeq lists it as uncharacterized. NCBI's taxonomy places the organism in Eukaryota, Metazoa, Chordata, Mammalia, Primates, Cercopithecidae. The transcript is spliced from 2 exons. The record is from RefSeq and is a predicted model, not a curated record.
ACCAUGAGGGCACGCACCCUGUCCGUCUCCACUGCUGAACCCCCAGCUCUUAUACAUAGCUGGGCACCGAGAGAUACCUUAUAAUAUAGCUGAAUGAUGAACGAGUGAAGUCAUGAAUAAACCUAAUAUAAGCGCAGAGCGGGGCGGGGUGGGGAGUUGGCUGAAAAACACUUUGAAAAUAAUCUAAUCUACAUCUCUCUUUUCUACUCUAUAGUAAGAAAAGAAACAGGAGCUGCAGUGUUAGAACACAGUUAUCCUAACUAGGGCACUCUCUAGUGCCAUAAUGAGGAUCUUUGGUCACUGUAAGGCAAGCAUCCCAGAGGGGCUCUGAUGCCACGCCCGGUUCAAGUUGGAGAACAGGACACCCACACCCAGAAGGAUCCAGCUAAAUAAAACUUCAGCGUCAGUUGAUGAUAGAAAUAGAGAGUUGUGUGCUCUGUUAGCCCUCACUUUGUAACAUUUUUCGUCAGAUGAAGUUAAGACAAAUCAAUAUUUCUUCCUCUACAAUACAGGCUGACAUUCUGAUUUGGAAAUCUUCAUUGAAGAAAUUUGGCUUAUAUUCUUGGAAACUUCAGGCUUGCAUAACACUUUGACUUCUAGCUUAAUUCUUGUGGAAUCUUGAGGUUCAGGCCCUUCUCGUCAAGUUCUUUCUGUGGCCCAGCCAAACCUUGUGCAUCCUUCCAGCCCAGCUUAAGCCUUCCUUCCUCUGUGAUGCCUACUGCCACAGUGAUCUUGUCCUUCUACCUGCUCCUCAGAACUUCAUUGUCUUUUCCACUCACCUGGUGCCUAAUCGACUGUACUGCCUUGUCAUACCCUUUGUAUUUAGUCAGAGCAUCUGUUUCAACCAGCUUGUAACCACCUUCAGACGGGAGGCCCAUAGUGCCUAAAACAGUAAUAAUAAUAAUAAUAGUAAUAACCAGCAUUUAUUGAGUACUUACCAUAUGCCAGGCCCUAUUCUAAGAGCUUGUUAUGGAUGACUUCAGUUAACUUUCACCCAUUCAAAGGGGAUAAUGCUGUUACAAUCCCACUUUCCAGAUAAGGAAGCAGAAGACCAGGGGAGUUGGGUCAGUUAGCACAGCCAGGAUUUAAACUCAAGCACUCUGAGAGCAGAGCCUGAGCCACCCUCAACCCCUACACUCUGCCGUGGCACUGGGGGUUCAGUAGUUGCUCAAUAUAGCUUUGUUGAAUGAAUGAAAACAUGGAGGCUUGUCCUGUGCAGGAGAGAAACCUCCAGAGGAGGCCCUGUUCUGUUACACUUACAGCUUUGCUGUUUGCCAUCACUACUUGCACAUCAUUGCUGUUGUUUCAGGAGCAAGAUCCUGUGUGGUCCAGGAGGGAAAAGAGGUUAGGAAGUGAGAUGCCCACACCUCUCUCCUGCCUUCCUCCCUUGCAGGUUGGGCAGCGAACAAGUUGGGGCAGCUCUUCUUCCUACCACCCCUUGCUCUCAGAGCUAGCCAGCAACCUGGAGCAGGGAGAGGUAGAAAGGAAGGCAUGGGGGGCAGCGACAGCUUCAGGAUCACUGGUUCCUGGGGCCCUUGCCUUCUGAGGCUCAGUCAACCGGAUGUUCCUUUAGCUUGCCGGAAUUUGGCCGGAUUUACAGAGAUAAGAUCAAUCUGACCCUUAAUUCCUUAAAUGUAAUUUAUGGGCUUGCCUCCUGUGUGCCACAACACGUCUGGCUAUCCAAAAUCUGGUAAUUAUUUAUGUAAACACAGGAUCCUGCCUUUGUGGAUUAUAAUUGGACUUGAACAGCAAGAAGCAGGGACUUAUACAGUUGGGGCUGCACUGAAACCCUUCUUUUGAAAAUACUCACCUGAGCCUUUGAAAUCUUCCCUGUGGCUCAUGGAUGGCUUUAACCAGACCAAAAAAAACAUUCUUUUCUCCUCCUCCUGCAGGCCUGGGCAAAUUUGUUCCCAAACACCACCAGGUUUUCUAGGUCCUUUCAGAGGAUGGGCUGAAGAUACCCCAUCAUCUGGACUGGACUGAGAGGACAGGUGCCCUGGGAGGGAGCCUCCAUGGAUCUCCUCAUGGUCUGUUGGGACACGAAUUUUUAUACCCCCUCUAAGAAGAAACAGGAUUAGGAAUUUUAUGCUGUUUGGAAAAGAGGAGAGGUGGCUGGCACAAGAGAAAGAUCUUUGUUUUUUAUUCAUGCUGUGAGUUUCCCAGGAGCCUUUGCUGUACAUACACACACAAGAGCCAGGAGGAUUAGAGGAAAGAAAAUGAGUUGAUUGAACCAGAUGGUUCAGGAAGCACUCCCAGGAGGCUGCUGGGAUGGAUGAAUCCGUGUCUUUAAAUAACAUUAAUUUCAGAAAGGCCCAAAUUGUUUCCUAAAUUACUACACUGAACUUUUACCUUUCAUCUGUUUUUAUGGCACCUCUCUGGUUGAAGGCAGGAGCUACUGCUUUCUGACAAACCAGCUUUGGAGAAAUCCGUCAUCCUUGGUGAAGCUGGUAAGGAAUUGUUUUCCUGGAGGAAAAAGAAAUCCUUAAGAAUCCAAGUGCUUUGAAAAACAGAUUUAGGCAGAAACAAGCACCCCUGGGUGAUCUGAACAAGCUACCAAGUUCUAAUGCCAGCUGAGACACUCAUUUCCUCAGUGGCUGGGGGCAAACCACUUAACCUCAGUUUCCCCAUCUGUAAAAUGGGGUUAAUAAUGCUUACCUGCUGCAGGAGUGCUGUGAGGUUUUAAUUGGGUAAUGGCUGUGGAGCCCUUUGAUGUAGUAAGUUUUAUUAACUUGUAAGGGGUUCCCUGAGGCCAGAAAAAGCAGUUAAACCCAAGAGAGAGAAGAAAGGCACUGAAAGGAAAGCAAAGCUCAGCUAAGUGUUUCACCUCCAGCUCCAAUUUCAGAAGUGUGGAGUCCAGCUGCUCCACUGUGAGUGGAAAGCAGUGACUGGGGCUGGGGACUGUCUGAAUAGCAUCGGGGGAGGGAAAGCUUCAGGGUCAUCUCAGAGGGAGCUUGGCUUUCAGAUUUGUGAAGGGUAAAGGUAAGCAAGUAGUCUUGCUUGAUCAAACCAGGAUCAUUCUCUGGCCCCACUGAGGUUCUUUGCUAAGAACCUUCUCCAGUAAGAGAAUUACUUUGCUAUUAAUCAAGGUCCUUGUAAUUGAAUUUAGAAACCCCUAGCCUCUGGCCUCCUGUUUCCCAACAAUUAAAAAGAGAACUGGCCUCUAGCCAGGGUUGCUGACCAGAGAAGAGUUGGAAGGACAGCACCAACCAAAGGUUAGAAAACUGGGGAGUUUUCCAAGCUCCACCAUUCACAGCUAGGCAGACCAACCUAGACUGCUCGGCCAGCUCUGUGCUUCAGUUUCCCACUCCAUAAAAUUGAUUGCCGUUAAAGCCCAAAUAAUUAAGAUUUGGAACGUGAAAUGCACUAAAAUGAUAAAGAACAAACCCCUACUCGCCUUUCAGUAAGUUAAAAAAAUCAAUUAUUUGAAUAAUUUUACUCCAAGCCAACUCAUUCAGCAUGAGAGACCCCAUGCUCCUCUUCCUCCUGUCUAACUUUUGUUGGGUGCCCACCACACAGCCACGGUCAUUCAGCAUCAGCUACAUGAACACAGCCUAGGAGGGUAAUCAACUUGUCCUGGUUUGCCUAGACUAUCCUCGUUUUAGCUCUGAAAAUCUCAUGUUCCAGGAGCCCCUCCUAAUCGCAAGCAAACUGGGAUGGUUGAUCACCCUAACAUGUCCUUGGGCUAGUUGGAAAGUGCUGGCUACAGUUCCUGUCAAGCAGUUAUUGACCUACCACAGGCAUAUCUUAGGAAAAGGGGCGCAGUGGUGUGGCAGAGGUGAAGGAGUCCUAUGAUCCAGGCUGUCAUUCCUGGCUCUGCCUCUCUCUACUGACUUCAGAUCAGACCCGUGGCCUCAGUUUCCUCACCUGCAAAGGGAGGUGGUGUGACAUGAUGCCUUUUCACCUUUCCUCCAGGAGACAUGGCUGCAAAGACACGCCCAUCAACUUGCCCAGCCCCAGGGGGGAUGCUGUGUGCUUUGCAAUAAGUGGCAAAACACACAGCGUCGGGACACACUGGGGACCAAAGUCCAUCCCGGCUUGUGGGAUUCAGCUCCUUGGUGUCCACUGAUUCCUUUAAUGCUCUUUCUUUGUGAGAAGGAAGCACAUGGGUGGGAAUGUGUCAGCCCUCAACUAACCCUCUGAGUGUUGUACAUAUCUCUUUAGAUCACUUUUCUUCCUAAAAUGAGCACAUUAUAUCCCUGAGAUCUGAAACUUGACUUUUCCAAGACUGUGUUCAAGUUUGGCAAAAUGAGCACUGAGUCCAAAAAUUAAAGUAAUUUAAAAGACCCACUGUUUCCCUUAUCAUAAUUUAGGCUACACAUUUUUAGUAUGGUUUUCUAUUCCUGUGUUUUAUUUUACAAUAUAAAGAAAAAUACCUGCUGUAAAGGAAGUAAAAUUCUAUAAAUUAUA